CAGUGGAAUCAUAAUAAUUUAAAUAUAAAGAUUAACUUUUUAUCUAUUAUAUAAAUUCAUUUAAUAAAAAUAAUGAUAGGAUUUUUCAUCAAGAAAUUGCUUUUUAUAAUAAUUGCCUCUCAUUCUCAGCGAAAUCUCCCUUACAAAAAUUAAUUACAAAUGCAACAUUUUAAAUUAAAAUUAUAAAACAUAGACAAGAUUAAUUACAAUAAAUCAUUCUAAAUUAAAAAAUCAUAUAAAAUUCUAAUCGAAAAAUAUAAAUAUUUAAAGUAAAACUAUUAAUAAACUAUUAUUGAUAAUGAUAAUUUCCCUUUUUAUCUACCUUGCUUUCUUUUCUUUUCUUUUUUUCUCAUUGAAAUAUUUUGUUUGACAUUAAUAACCAUGCUAAUAAUUAUCACCAAAGAAAAUAACCAUAGCAAAAAAUUAAUAUAAAUAUAAUUAAUUAAUAUCAACUGAAAAAUAAUAAUUUAUUUUAAUUAAGAGUAAAUUUGUACCCAUUUGUUUCUCAAAGUGCUCUUUCAUAUCAUAAUAUAAUAACAAUUACUCCCUUGUCAAUUAAAAUAUCUUCUAUCUCCUUCCAAUAUCAUUAUUAUUCGAAUAUAAUUCAAUAUUGCCUUUUCGAAGAACCAUCACUUUAAUGUUUUAUUUUUUUAAUAUAAUUCUAAUUUAUUAAUGUUAAUAAUCUCCAUUUGUUUUUAGAUGCUACUUGACCAAAUGUGCAUAAGGAUGCUAUUUAUAAAGCUAAACUUAAAUUUUAUUUGAUAUAUAACUCUCACAUUGAUUGUGUGAUUAUUAAGAUGCUUGGAAUUCUAUUCAAGUAAUAACUCAAUUUUACAUCAAUAAAAUUAGCAUUUUUUUACAUAAAACUUUUUGAUUAAUUAUUGUAAUUAUAAUUAUAUUAUCAUAAUUAUUUCCUGUAUUUCAUGGUUAAAGUUCUAUUUAAGUAAUAAAUUUAUUUUCAAAUUAGCAUAAAUUUUUAAUUAAUAAUUAUAAAUUACAUUAUAUUUUUUACAUGUGUAAUUAUCACAACUUCUAUUAAAUUAUAACUAUUUUCAGUUGUAUAAUUAUCAUAACUUCUAUUUUACAUCAAAUUUUAACUAAUAAUUCUAAAUUAUAUAUCAUUAUUUUAUCUAAAUGCCAAUGUAGUAACUUAAUUAUGAAAGUCUGCUACCCUAGCACAAUAUUGUCUGCCGCCUCUAGCAUGAGUUUUAGGUUUUCUUGUCUUUAGUCUUUGUUUGUUUCUUAGUUGCAAUUAACGUCUUCAGGCUACUCUUAUUCAUACGAUUGGGAGAGUGGUGAUCGUGUUCUGGCCUUCAAACCUGCAUUCAUGGAGACUGAAUUAGCACAAUUGUCGCUCAAUGAGGAAGAAGAAGAAAUCUUACAAAUCCAGGUAGAUCUGAGUAUGCAAAGAGAAGUGGGAGAAUUUUAGCUUGUGGGAUGUUUCCUAACAGCUAGUAUAAUUCACUAUCCAGCCAUGAAAAGCACUAUGGCAAACCUGUGGCAUCCUGCUUGUAGGGUCCAAAUUCGAGAUCUAGGGGAAAAAAGGUACCUUUUUCAGUUUUUUCAUAGUAUGGAUAUAGAGAGGGUUUUGAAAGGUUUACCAUGGACUUUUAAUAAUCAUUUGUUAAUACUUUGUAAACUGAAAAGAGGAGAGGAUCCACUAAAAGUACCACUAGUUUUUAUCCCUUUCUGGGUACAAAUUCAUGACGUCCUAAUAAGGUUAUUUUCUGAAAGUCUAGCAAUACAAUUGGGUAAUUUUAUAGGAGUUUUCUUGGAGUAUGAUGGGUCAAAUUUAAGGAAGGAAAACCGUAAUUACAUGAGGGUAAGGGUACAAAUUGACGUUAGGAAGCCCUUGAAAAAAAAAGUAGGUUAUGUGUUGUGGGAUAUGCUCGUAUGUUAAAUUUAAGUAUGAACGUCUAUCGCUUUUCUGUUUCUACUAAGGACGACUGGGACAUAAUGACUCUUUUUGUGAGGCAAAAAUGAUGUUAGGGGUGGAUAUUGCUGAAUUGGGUUGGAAUUUAUCAUUGCGAGUACAAUCUCGAAGAGCCAUUUCAAUUAAUAGUAUAUGGCCAUGAGAAGAGGGUGAAGGAAAAUGAGAAAAAAGUUGGACGGGUAAUCGGGUUGUAGGGCUUAGAUCUUUGAAUGGGGAUAUGAAAGAAAGAAGGGGAAAAGCCAUUGGUCCAAUUUUAGGUUUUAACAUAGAAGGAGGGGUGUUAUCUGUAAAUCAACGGAAGGACAAAUUUUGGUCCAAUUAGAUGCAAAUGGCCAUGGAGCAUGAUUUGCAAGAUGAUACCUUAAUAAGGGAGGAGGGGAAAAAGUGAAACAGGGAGAGAUGGAAGAUCUAACAGAAAAUGAAGAGAGUGGUAAUGCAAUAACAAGAAAUAGAAGAAUGGUGGAAUUUAAUCUUUUAUCAUCGGCGGUUGCCAAGAGGCAAGCUGACCGGGCGCAAUGAAAAUCAUAAGUUGGAACGUCCGUGGUUUGGGGAGACAAUGGACUAUUAAAAGACUUUAGCAUUUACUAAAUAUACAUAAUCCCUAAAUAAUCUUCUUUAUGGAGACAAAGUUUAGUAGAAAAUAGAUGGAACGAGCUCGUAGAAGAUGUGGUUACGCGAAUGGUAUUGAAGUUGACUCAGAAGGUACGAGAGGAGGAUUGUGUCUAGCAUAGAGGACUGAUGUUAAUAUAAUGCUCCGUAAUUUUUCUAAAAGACACAUUGAUGUGGUAGUUGAAGAUAAGGAAAAAGAAACCAAUUGGAGAUUUACAGGAUUCUAUGGAUCCCCAUAUAUGCUAGAUAAGAAGGAUUCAUGGGCUGCUUUGAAAACCUUAGCUACUGAUAUGGAAACCCUUUGGUUUGUUUGUGAAGACUUCAAUGAAAUUAUGUAUAGAUUCGAAAAAAAAGGGCUGCCUAGAGAUAAAAAAAAAGGAUGGAACAUUUUUUAAGAACACUAAAGGAAUGUCAACUGAAUGAUGUGGGCUUUGAUGGUAACUGGUUCACUUGGGAGAGAGGUAAUUUAUUGGAGACGAACAUACAAGAACGACUAGACAGAGGUGUCGCUAACACAGAAUGGAUUGCUAUGUUUUCGGAGGUGAAAGUCCAACAUCUAGUGCAUUCAUUUUCAGAUCACUACCCUCUUCUUAUUAAUACAAGGAAAUGUGAUGAACGAUUGAGGAACAAUAAUUUAAAAUUUGAAGCUUGGUGGUCCUUGAAGGAGUCUUUCAUUAAUGAAGUCAAGUGUUUGUGGGAGAAAUCUUCAGGGGAGCUAUUACAGAAGCUAGAAAAUUUGAAAAAAAAGGCUUGAAGAAGUGGGUUGGGAAAAUUCAAAUAAAUAGAAAAAAGAAAAAAAUAAAUCCUAACGGAAAAACUAGUGGUUGGCUGAAGCUGAAAGAAAUGAUAAGAAUCUAGUUGAGUUGAUUGAUACGAAAAUUAAUUUGAAUUUUGAGAUCGAAAAAGAUGAAUGUUACUAGGAAUAGAGGGCCAGACUAAACUGGUUGAAAUUUGGUGAUAAAAACACAAUAUUUUUCACAGUCAAGCAUCACAGAGGCGGAGGACAAAUCUCAUUCACAAGUUAAAAAAUGAAGACGGAAGAGAAAUGGUGGCAUUACAGAAAAUAGGUGUUGUGCGGUCUUAUUUUCAAAGAUUAUUUUCGACAGAAGGUAGGGGGAACUACGAACAUAUACUAUCAGGGAUCGAGCGUUGUGUCUAUGCGAAAGACAACCAAAAACUUACAACUACAUACACUAAAGAUGAAAUUACAGAAGCAGUAUUCGACAUGGGACCCAUGAAGGCACCAGGAGAAGACAAAUUUCCAGCUCUAUUUUAUCAGAAAUGUUGGCAGAUUGUUGGAGAAGAAGUCACCUCCUUUCUUACAAAUUCUAAAUAAGGAUAUGGAGGUUAGUCCAAUUAACUCUACCAAUAUAGUACUUGUCCCAAAAAUUACUAGCCCCUCUAAUAUGAUGCAAUUUCGACUGAUUAGUCUAUGCAAUGUACUUUAUAAAAUUUUGGGAAAGGUAAUAGCAAAUCGAUUCGAGGAGUUAUUGAAAAAUGCAUUGAUAAAGCGCAGAGUGCCUUUGUGCCAGGUCGAUUAAUAUCAGAUAAUGUUCUGUUAGCUUAUGAAAUGUUGCAUAAGUUAAAACAGAAGAGAUUGGGGAAAAAAGGGUAUAUGGCCGUUAAGCUCAAUAUGAGUAAAUCAUAUGAUAAGGUUGAAUGGAAUUUUAUAAAGGAGGUAAUGAUACGAAUGGGGUUUGAUCAAAGCUAGGUAGAUGCCAUUAUGAAAUGUGCAACCACUGUUUCUUAUUCAAUAAUCAUCAAUGGGCAUAAUGCGGAUAAGUUUCUACCAACUAGAGGACUUAGACAAGGUGAUCCGCUAGGCCCCUUCUUAUUUCUUUUAUGUGGUGAGGGUCUAUCGAGCCUACUGAGACUAGCAACGAAUGGAAACUUCUUAAAAGGUGUUAAGGUUAAUAGAAAUGACCCACAGGUAUCUCAUCUUUUAUUCACUAAUGAUUGCAUAUUAUUUAGGGAGGCGACAAGUAAGGGUGCUAAUCUAUUCAAGGACAUUCUCCGCGAGUACAAAUCUUGCUCGGGUCAAUGUGUGAACUUUGACAAAUCAACAGUAUUCUUUAGUAAGAACACGUUAGAGGAAGAUAGGAGGCUGGUUGUCAAUCUAUUUGGGGUACGUAGUUCGAAUGAACCACAUCGUUAUUUAGGGUUGCCUAAUAUGGUGGGUCGAAGAAAAAUGAAUCUUUUCAAAACUUGAAAGACCAACUCAAAAAACGUAUUGAUAAUUAGAGUAACAGGUACUUAUCGUAGGGUGGAAAAGAAGUAUUUAUGAAAGCCAUUCUUCAGGUAUACCAACUUAUACGAUGGCUUUUUUAUUACCUAAAGUUCUAUGUGAAGAAUUGGAAAGUAUCAUUGCGAGGUUCUGGUGGCAGAAAGGACAUGGAAAAAGUGGAAUUCAUUGGUGCACUUGGAAAAACCUUUGUUCUUUAAAAGAAAAUGAUGGUUUAGGUUUUUGAAAUCUUGGUCAAUUUAAUAUUGCGUUAUUAGCUAAACAAGGUUGGCGUCUUAUUAAUUAUCCAAAUUCUUUAUUAGCCAGAGUUUUAAAAGCAAAAUACUAUCCGCAAUUAAGUUUUCUAAAGGCAGAGUUGGGAAAUUUACCUUCACUUACUUGGAAGAGUAUUUGGGCAGCAAAGGGACUUCUCCAAAAAGGGAUGCGCUGGAGAGUGGGCAGGGGAGACAACAUUUCUAUCUGGGAAGAUAGCUGGAUACAAGGGAUUGAUACAAUUGACGGACAUAACAGAUCAAAUAAUGGGGAAUUGCAGUUAGUCUCGGAUCUUAUUGAUAAUACAAACAGAAAAUAGAGGUCGGAUUUGAUUAAUAGUACCUUUCAAACGAAAAUUGCUUAGAAAAUUCUACAGAUCCCUCUUGCAGAGACUGAUCCCGAGGAUACUCAAGUUUGGAAAGGAGAAUUAUCCAGCGAGUUUUCAAUAUGCAGUGCCUAUAAACUAUUACAAGAUGCUAUUCUGAAUCCUACUAAUUUAUUACAGACCGAAACUAAAGAAUUUUAUAGGAAAUUCUGGAGCCUAUAGCUACCCUAAAAAAUUGCAAUCACUAUUUGGCGAAUUUCUUGGGAUUUUAUCCCUAAUCUUGCUAAACUCAGGUACAGAAAAGUCACUUCAAACGACAAAUAUCCCCGUUGCUGCUCCUGGGCAGAAGAAAGCCUUCAUUCUUCCGUGAAUGUCCUAUAACAACAGAAGUUUGGCAGUUUUUAAAUUUAUCCUGAGUUAUGAAUACUAUGAAUCAAAGUCUAUGGGAGUGGCUAACCUAGGUUUUCAAGAGUGGUAACGACGCUCAAUACCGACUCUUCUGUUAUGCUUUAUGGUCGAUAUGGUUUUCCAAAAAUCAAUUCAUACAUGAGGGGAAAAAUACAACAAGAAGGGUUUUAGCACAAAACAUUUAGAGGUAUAUGGCAGAAUAUGAAGGAAUAAAAGCAAGGAAGAUUCCUGAUAAGAUGAACAAAAACUACAGAAUCCAAGAGGACAUACCGAGAAUAACGAUCUACUUUGAUGCAGCGUUUGACAGUAGAAAUUUCAAAUCAGCGACAGGUCUGGUGGGGUGGGAUCUGAGGGGGGAACUAUUGGUACUAAAGAUAGUUAUUCACAACAAAUUUCCCUCCCCAUUCACAGUAGAAGCGUAUGCAUGUUUAGAAGGUAUAAGGUUAGGGAUCUCACUAAGAAUUCAAUCGGUCAAACUCAUGGGGACUCCAAAACAAUAAUUAAAAAUGUCAAACGACUUUAACAGAUAAAUUAGUGAUUGGAGCUAUUAUUAGAGACAUCUAGAAUAAGAAACCCUAUUUUCAAGAGAUUAUCCUUCAGCGUAUUCAUAGAUCAGAGAACUUGCAUGCACAUAGACUAGCAAAAGACGCUCUUCAUAGAGAAGAAACCAUUUACCUGAUGGGAGAAGAGCUGAGUCGCCAUGUUUUCACUUCGGAGAGAAGAUGGCCAAGAAAGCCAGACUGAAGGAGCAGUUGAAGGAAAUGAUCUCAAAAGAAAAUAGCAAAUAAAGUCUAAUCUUUGGGAACUGCUAUCGUCAGAAUAGAUGGAUUUUUGAAAUGACUAAUCGAUAGAUAUAAUGGUAUCCAGCCGUUUUUGAAUUGAGUGGGGUGGAUAUUUCGAUUUCUUUUCUUCUUUUCAUUUAUUGCUUUCUGUUUUUCCAUUAUGUUAGUACGUUACUUGCUGGUUAGGAGGUCUUCACUAUUAAUAUUUUAGUGAGGCCGGUUUUUGUUUUCAGUUUGUUGAAUUUGGUCUGGGUCCAAUGAUAUGGGCCUCCAGUUUGUUUUAUUCUUUUUCAAUAAAAU
RNAcentral lists this long non-coding RNA (6851 nucleotides) under Gossypium barbadense (sea-island cotton). RNAcentral's name for it is "long non-coding RNA (GBAR_LNC022440)". The record is from RNAcentral. Lineage: Eukaryota; Viridiplantae; Streptophyta; Magnoliopsida; Malvales; Malvaceae.